GCAAACUUGGUCAUUUAGAGGAAGUAAAAGUCGUAACAAGGUCUCCGUUGGUGAACCAGCGGAGGGAUCAUUACAGAGUUCUUGGCAACUCCCAACCCUGUGAACUUUAUCUCUUGUUGUUGCUUCUGGCAGGCGGCCCCUGGGUGGCCUGCCAGCGGCGACCUGCUCCAACCUUCUUUUGUAUCUCGACCGUCUGAGUCUGAAAAAAAUCAAUCAAAACUUUCAACAACGGAUCUCUUGGCUCUGGCAUCGAUGAAGAACGCAGC
This 266-nucleotide unclassified non-coding RNA is filed under the name uncultured fungus. Its description in RNAcentral is "partial contains small subunit ribosomal RNA, internal transcribed spacer 1, and 5.8S ribosomal RNA". The stretch from base 1 to 73 matches the Rfam family "Eukaryotic small subunit ribosomal RNA", at positions 1759 to 1831 of the family's 1831-position model. The record is from RNAcentral. Lineage: Eukaryota; Fungi.